AACGAACGUUUCACCCUCCCUCUCUCUCUUCCUCUUCAAGAUUCCACCCUCACCCUUGAAAUCUUCCAUUCCAAACCCUCCGAUACCCCUAAACCCCUCGUCGCUACCCUCCGUCUUCCCCUCAAAGACCUUCCUGACCUUCAUCACUCCACAAUCGUCAAGAAAUUCUCCGUCGUUCGACCAUCGGGUCGACCGCAGGGGAAAAUUCAUCUCAAAAUUAGCCUCCUUGGCCGCUCUCCUCCUCCGCCAUCGCCACCGAUAUCACAAAUGUUUGAUUAUAACAACACAAUCCCUAAUCCUCACCCUAACCCUAACCCUAAUUCUUCAAAUCCUUCCUUUGUUUAUUACAGAGGAAACUCUUCUUCUGCACCUUCUCCACCACCUUCACCUUCACCUUACAAUUACUACACCAAUUACUCUGAUAAUAACUAUUCUGGUGGCAGUUACUUUCCUGGCUAUUAUCCUGGUGGUGCUUAUCCACCGCCG
RNAcentral lists this long non-coding RNA (486 nucleotides) under Medicago truncatula (barrel medic). RNAcentral describes it as "long non-coding RNA (MTRU_LNC000852)". Lineage: Eukaryota; Viridiplantae; Streptophyta; Magnoliopsida; Fabales; Fabaceae. The record is from RNAcentral.